AUAUCAAUAAGCGGAGGAAAAGAAACCAACAGGGAUUGCCCCAGUAACGGCGAGUGAAGCGGCAAGAGCUCAAAUUUGAAAUCUGGCCUCCCCCGGGGGCCCGAGUUGUAAUUUGCAGAGGAUGCUUCGGGUGCGGCCGCCGUCUAAGUUCCUUGGAACAGGACGUCAGAGAGGGUGAGAAUCCCGUCUUGGGCGGGCGGUCCGCGCCCGUGUGAAGCUCCUUCGACGAGUCGAGUUGUUUGGGAAUGCAGCUCUAAGCGGGUGGUAAAUUUCAUCUAAAGCUAAAUAUUGGCCGGAGACCGAUAGCGCACAAGUAGAGUGAUCGAAAGGUUAAAAGCACCUUGAAAAGGGAGUUAAACAGCACGUGAAAUUGUUGAAAGGGAAGCGCUUGCGGCCAGACUCGGGGGCGGGGUUCAGCGGGUGCUCGUCGCCCGUGUAUUCCUCGUUUCCCGGGCCAGCAUCAGUUUCGACGGCCGGUCAAAGGCCCCCGGAAUGUGUCGUCUCUCGGGACGUCUUAUAGCCGGGGGUGCAAUGCGGCCCGUCGGGACUGAGGAACGCGCUUCGGCUCGGAUGCUGGCGUAAUGGCCGUAAGCGGC
RNAcentral lists this ribosomal RNA (596 nucleotides) under Trichophyton schoenleinii. RNAcentral describes it as "eukaryotic LSU rRNA". It matches the Rfam family "Eukaryotic large subunit ribosomal RNA", at positions 40 to 648 of the family's 3401-position model. The record is from RNAcentral. Lineage: Eukaryota; Fungi; Ascomycota; Eurotiomycetes; Onygenales; Arthrodermataceae. RNAcentral also lists the same sequence under 1 other name.